This is a ribosomal RNA of Gossypium arboreum, 173 nucleotides long. It matches the Rfam family "Eukaryotic large subunit ribosomal RNA", at positions 1 to 173 of the family's 3401-position model. NCBI's taxonomy places the organism in Eukaryota, Viridiplantae, Streptophyta, Magnoliopsida, Malvales, Malvaceae. The record is from Rfam.
CGACCCCAGGUCAGGCGGGAUUACCCGCUGUGUUUAAGCAUAUCAAUAAGUGGAGGAAAAGAAACUUACUAGGAUUCCCCUAGUAACGGCGAGAGAAUCGGGAAAAGCCUAGCUUGAGAAUCGAGCGCCACCGACGUUCGAAUUGUAGUCUGGAGAAGCGUCCUCAGUGGCGG